AGCCGUUGUUUUUGGUUCUUGCUCAAAAUGUCCAACAUUAUUUAGAACGGGCAGGAGACUACAAGGGUGCUGCAAAAGUGGCUCUCAAACAGGUUGAAUUCAUUUAUUAUAAACCACAAGGAGUGUAUGAUGCUAUGAGGAAGUUGGCUGAGCUUACGGAAGCUUUACUAAACCACAAGGAGUGUAUGAUGCUAUGAGGAAGUUGGCUGAGCUUACGGAAGGAGAAGGAGAGGCAGAGUCUAUAGAAGAAAACAAAGUGGUUGAGGAGAGUAGAGGUCCAACUGCAUUUGUUGCAACUCCAGAGCUUGUGCCCAGGAAAC
RNAcentral lists this long non-coding RNA (320 nucleotides) under Nicotiana benthamiana. RNAcentral's name for it is "long non-coding RNA (NBEN_LNC021431)". Lineage: Eukaryota; Viridiplantae; Streptophyta; Magnoliopsida; Solanales; Solanaceae. The record is from RNAcentral.